CUCUCUGAAUCUAGAAGUUUGUGCCCUUCAUGCUCCUAUAACGCUGACCUGAGGGCAGGGGGGAGAGCAGUGAGGAACCAGGAUGACGGGUGUCCUGAACGAUGAUCCCUGCCUUCCUGAGAUGGCGAGUUGUAAAAAUGUCCACAACAAAGGGGAGCUGUACUCCAGUGAUGGACCGGGCUGACCCGACCACCCUCUGUGACACCUUCCGGUCAGACAGCGAGCCGCUGCCAAACCACACUGUUAUCCCACAUGAGAACACGGUCUCGAUAGCGCACCUGUCACAUGUGGAUAUGUCACACAGUUCACUUGGACAGCAGGCUGGAAUGGAGAAACAACACAACCGUCAUGAGAUAUCACUGCUGAACAGCACAACGCAGCACAACAGCAGCACAACAGCAGCACCCAAACACGCAGAUCCAGGCCCGGAAGGAGUCUCUGUCUGGCGGAGUGGAGGCACACUGCUCCUCGGAGAGCAGCAGCUGGACACAGGGCUGCAGGCGGUGGGGUCCUAUGGGGGGGUCCCUGUGGGGGGGUCCCCGUGGGGUGCAGGGCACUGUGCUCUGGAUUCGUGGAGCGGCGUGCAUCACAUAACACCGAGGCAGGAUGACCCAUCGUCCAGCGCAGGCUUCUUGUAA
This 638-nucleotide long non-coding RNA is filed under the name Lepisosteus oculatus (spotted gar). RNAcentral describes it as "lncRNA (ENSLOCG00000023240.1)". The record is from RNAcentral. Lineage: Eukaryota; Metazoa; Chordata; Actinopteri; Semionotiformes; Lepisosteidae.